GAUGAACGCUAGCUACAGGCUUAACACAUGCAAGUCGAGGGGAAACGACAUCGAAAGCUUGCUUUUGAUGGGCGUCGACCGGCGCACGGGUGAGUAACGCGUAUCCAACCUGCCCACCACUUGGGGAUAACCUUGCGAAAGUAAGACUAAUACCCAAUGACGUCUCUAGAAGACAUCUGAAAGAGAUUAAAGAUUUAUCGGUGAUGGAUGGGGAUGCGUCUGAUUAGCUUGUUGGCGGGGUAACGGCCCACCAAGGCGACGAUCAGUAGGGGUUCUGAGAGGAAGGUCCCCCACAUUGGAACUGAGACACGGUCCAAACUCCUACGGGAGGCAGCAGUGAGGAAUAUUGGUCAAUGGGCGAGAGCCUGAACCAGCCAAGUAGCGUGCAGGAUGACGGCCCUAUGGGCUGUAAACUGCUUUUAUAAGGGAAUAAAGUGAGCCUCGUGAGGCUUUUUGCAUGUACCUUAUGAAUAAGGACCGGCUAAUUCCGUGCCAGCAGCCGCGGUAA
Molecule: ribosomal RNA, 508 nt
Filed under: uncultured bacterium
Lineage: Bacteria
Description: partial 16S ribosomal RNA
Rfam family: Bacterial small subunit ribosomal RNA
Source: RNAcentral